AGAGCGGCGUACGGGUGCGGAACACGUGUGCAACUGCCUUUAUCUGGGGGAUAGCCUUUCGAAAGGAAGAUUAAUACCCCAUAAUAUGUUGGAUGGCAUCAUUCAACAUUGAAAACUCCGGUGGAUAGAGAUGGGCACGCGCAAGAUUAGAUAGUUGGUGAGGUAACGGCUCACCAAGUCUACGAUCUUUAGGGGGGCCUGAGAGGGUGAUCCCCCACACUGGUACUGAGACAUGGACCAGACUCAUACGGGAGGCAGCAGUGAGGAAUAUUGGACAAUGGGUGAGAGCCUGAUCCAGCCAUCCCGCGUGAAGGACGACUGCCCUAUGGGUUGUAAACUUCUUUUGUAUAGGGAUAAACCUACCCUCGUGAGGGUAGCUGAAGGUACUAUACGAAUAAGCACCGGCUAACUCCGUGCCAGCAGCCGCGGUAAAUACGGAGGGUGCAGGCGUUAUCCCGGAUUAUUGGGUUUAAACAGGGUCCGUAGGCGGAUCCGUAAGUCAGUGGUGAAAUCUCACAGGUUUAAUUGGUGAAAAUUGCAUUGAUAUUGGAGGUCUUGAGUGUUGUUGAAGUAGCUGGGAAUAAGUUAGUUGUAGGGUGA
Molecule: ribosomal RNA, 600 nt
Filed under: uncultured bacterium
Lineage: Bacteria
Description: bacterial SSU rRNA
Rfam family: Bacterial small subunit ribosomal RNA
Source: RNAcentral